RNAcentral lists this transfer RNA (72 nucleotides) under Ovis aries (sheep). It matches the Rfam family "tRNA". From Rfam's summary of the family: Transfer RNA (tRNA) molecules are approximately 80 nucleotides in length. Their secondary structure includes four short double-helical elements and three loops (D, anti-codon, and T loops). Further hydrogen bonds mediate the characteristic L-shaped molecular structure. tRNAs have two regions of fundamental functional importance: the anti-codon, which is responsible for specific mRNA codon recognition, and the 3' end, to which the tRNAs corresponding amino acid is attached (by aminoacyl-tRNA synthetases). tRNAs cope with the degeneracy of the genetic code in two manners: having more than one tRNA (with a specific anti-codon) for a particular amino acid; and 'wobble' base-pairing, i.e. permitting non-standard base-pairing at the 3rd anti-codon position. The record is from Rfam by way of RNAcentral. Lineage: Eukaryota; Metazoa; Chordata; Mammalia; Artiodactyla; Bovidae.
UCCCAGGUAGCUCAGCUGGUAAAGAAUCUGCCUGCAAUGCAGGAGAUUCUGGUUCAAUUCCUGGGUGGGGAA